Molecule: long non-coding RNA, 719 nt
Filed under: Amphimedon queenslandica
Lineage: Eukaryota; Metazoa; Porifera; Demospongiae; Haplosclerida; Niphatidae
Description: uncharacterized LOC109581092, transcript variant X3
Source: RNAcentral
AGUUGUUUCUUCUUUUCUCACGUCGAUAGUGUAGCUUUAUGCCAGAGUGACUGAAGAAACUGAGUUCUCAUCAUUUGAGGAAGAUGUGUAUCAGAAUUGACUUAUCUGACUGAGUGUGCGUUUAGUUAUAACAUGAUGUUUCAUGUACUACUGACUUACUAUUUUUUAAUUCUCAGUUUGAUAGUAUAAUUUAUGCCAAAAGUGGUAUAAUUUAUGCCAAAAGUGAAUUAUCAGACUGAGUUCCUAUCAUUUGAGUUUGGAUUCUGAAGUGAUCAUGUCUUUCUCAGUUUUAACACUAUGAUGUAUAUUGGGACUGACUAAUCAGACGAGUUUUUAUCAUUCGAAUUACAUAGAAUAGUUUAAAAUGCCAGAAGUGACUAAUCAGACUGAGUUGUUAUCAUUUGAGAUGAUGCUAUGUUCUUUUUAGUUAUCACCAUUCGUUUUUCCCGGUUUCAUAGUACAUUUUAAAAUACCAGAAAAAACAAAUCAGCUUGGUUUUAAAAUGAUAUUAUCAUGUACUACUUCAAAGUGUUAAUUUUGCUUUUUUUCUUUACUCUAUAUCAGGAGUGACUGAUGGGACCUCGUGAAAUUAGAUCAUGGUCAUAGUAUUAAAGUUAAAAAUACCAGGAGAAACUGAGCAGAUAUGAUCUAUAUCGGGACUGACUGAUCAGACUUCGUUUUUAUAAUUCAAAUUUCAUAGUAUGGUUUAAAAUAUCAGA